AAUAUUGGACAAUGGGGGCAACCCUGAUCCAGCCAUGCCGCGUGUGUGAAGAAGGUCNNNGGAUUNUNAAGCACUUUAAGUUGNGANNAAGGGCUUUAGGCUAUUACCCUGAAGUUUUGACGUUACCAACAGAAUAAGCACCGGCCAACUCUGUGCCAUCAGCCGCGGUAAUACAGAGGGUGCAAGCGUUAACCGGAAUUACUGGGGGUAAAUCGCGCGUAGGUAGUUCAGUAAGAUGGGUGUGAAAUCCCCGGGCUUAACCUGGGAACUGCUUUCAUAACUGCUGAGCUAGAGUACGGUAGAGGGUAGUGGAAUUUCCUGUGUAGCGGUGAAAUGCGUAGAUAUAGGAAGGAACACCAGUGGCGAAGGCGACUACCUGGACUGAUACUGACACUGAGGUGCGAAAGCGUGGGGAGCAAACA
This 422-nucleotide ribosomal RNA is filed under the name uncultured bacterium. Its description in RNAcentral is "partial 16S ribosomal RNA". It matches the Rfam family "Bacterial small subunit ribosomal RNA", at positions 360 to 774 of the family's 1533-position model. The record is from RNAcentral.